Molecule: ribosomal RNA, 429 nt
Filed under: uncultured bacterium
Lineage: Bacteria
Description: bacterial SSU rRNA
Rfam family: Bacterial small subunit ribosomal RNA
Source: RNAcentral
UGGGGAAUAUUGGACAAUGGGCGGAAGCCUGAUCCGGCAAUGCCGCGUGUGUGAAGAAGGCCUGCGGGUUGUAAAGCACUUUCAGGGGGGAGAAGGAAAUUAGUUUUAAUAGAGCUAAUGGAAGAUGUUACCCCCAGAAGAAGCACCGGCUAACUCUGUGCCAGCAGCCGCGGUAAUACAGAGGGUGCGAGCGUUAAUCGGAAUUACUGGGCGUAAAGGGUGCGUAGGUGGUUAUAUAAGUUAGAUGUGAAAGUCCUGGGCUUAACCUGGGGAUUGCGCCUGAUACUGUGUAGCUAGAGUCCUGUAGAGGAAAGUGGAAUUUCCGGUGUAGCGGUGAAAUGCGUAGAUAUCGGAAGGAACAUCAGUGGCGAAGGCGACUUUCUGGAUAGAGACUGACACUGAGGCACGAAAGCAUGGGGAGCAAACAGG